RNAcentral lists this ribosomal RNA (253 nucleotides) under uncultured bacterium. RNAcentral describes it as "partial 16S ribosomal RNA". It matches the Rfam family "Bacterial small subunit ribosomal RNA", at positions 524 to 776 of the family's 1533-position model. The record is from RNAcentral.
UACGUAGGGUGCGAGCGUUAAUCGGAAUUACUGGGCGUAAAGAGUGCGUAGGCGGUUCGUUAUGUCUGUGGUGAAAGCCCUGGGCUCAACCUAGGAAUGGCCAUGGAAACUGGCGGGCUGGAGUAUGGCAGAGGGGGGUGGAAUUCCGCGUGUAGCAGUGAAAUGCGUAGAGAUGUGGAGGAAUACCGACGGCGAAGGCAGCCUCCUGGGCCAACACUGACGCUCAUGCACGAAAGCGUGGGGAGCAAACAGG